RNAcentral lists this long non-coding RNA (1647 nucleotides) under Sus scrofa (pig). RNAcentral's name for it is "lncRNA (ENSSSCG00015034100.1)". Lineage: Eukaryota; Metazoa; Chordata; Mammalia; Artiodactyla; Suidae. The record is from RNAcentral.
GGGUAAAGGGCUACAGCCUCUAAUAAUGGCACCCAGUUGUAAGAAAUGACAACGGGGCCUCACAACCUCUGGGGUUUCCUAGACAAAAAACUGUACCUGGACUAUAUUGUUCUUUAAAGCUGAUGAUGCUCUGCUUCCCAAUUUGGGGGCACAGGUGAGGAAACAUUAAAAAGGGCGCAGUUAGGCAUUCCUUCGUGGCACAGUGGGUUAGGAAUCUGGUGUCACUGCAGUAGCUUGGGUUGCUGCUGUGGCUGGGGUUCAAUUCCUGGCUCAGGAACUUCAAAAUGCCUUGGGGCAUCAAAAAAUAAUUAAAGAGCACAGUUAGCUGGUAGAAUGAUGGAAACAGUCCUAAACAAAUGAUCUAUUUUCUGCUUUACACAAACAAGCAACGUCAAAAGUUUGGAAGAGAUUUUUUUUUUUUUCUUUUAGUCUUUUCUAGGGCUGCACCCGAGCCUGGGAACCUCCAUAUGCCAUGGGUGCGGCCCUUAAAAUUGGAAAAAAAAAAAGUUAUAAAUCUUUAAAAAUAUAUAUUUCUUAGAGUUCCUGUUGUGGCUCAGUGGUAUCAAGCCUGACCAAGAUCCAUGAGGAUAUGGGUUUGAUCCCUGGACUUGCUGAGUGGGUUAAGGAUCCAUCGUUGCCAUGAGCUGUGGUGUAGAUCAUAGACAUGGCUUGGAUCUUGUGUGGCUGUGGCUGUGGUAGAGGCCAGGAGCUGUAGCGCCAGUUUGACCCCUACCUGGUAACUUACAUAUGCCCCAGGUACAGCCCUAAAAAAAAAGUAUACACACACACACACACACAUAUAUAUAUUUCUCUCCAGAACAUUGGAAAAGCAUGGCUCCUGUCCAUGUAUUUAAUGUUAUUAUUUUUGUAGGUAUGUAACACAUAUGCCUUUUCAUUAGUAAGUUCCAUUUAGAGCAAAGCAUUUCACCCUCCAUGUCUCGUAUUCUGCGUCUGAAGGUUCAAAAGACUAGGUCAAAAUAUUCAUGGAAUUCCCACGGUGGCACAGCAGUUUAAGAUCUGAUGUCUCUGUGGCAGCAAGGGUUUGAUCCCCAGCUCAGUGCAUUGGGCUGAGGAUUCAGAAUUGUAGCUGUGGUGUGUUGCAGCUGGGGCUAGGAUUCCAUCCCUAACCCAAGAACUUCCUUAUUCCACAGGUAUGGCCAAAAUUAAAAAAAAAAAAAAAUUUAAGAAGAAGAGACUCCAAAACUUUCCAAAACCUGAAGCUUGAAUUUCUCUUAUGCUGGCAACUAUCUACAUAGUAUUUGUGUCGUAUUUACAAACAUUUCCAUAGCAUUUUUAUGUUGCAUUAGGUGGUGUAAAUAAUCUAGGAAAGAUGUAAAGUGCACGUUAGGGAUGCUCAGAGUUUGAUGUCCUUGGACUUUCUGGAAGCAGGUCCCUGUGGAUACUGAGGGAUGACUGUACACUCGUGAUUAUUUUUUAAUGAUAUACCUUGCAUUUUCUGUAAAUAAGUUUUUAGAGUUACAUGCAUGAGGUGUAGGUUAAAUUAGAUGGUUCUGUACUGAUAUUUAACGUUCAAAGUUUGUGAUUCAUCUAUGGGGUUUAUUAAACUAUUUUCUUUUUCCAUAUAUAUCUGACAUUUUUCAUUGUAAAGCAGUUAUAGCAACUUUCAUAAAAUGUUCCUUGUAUCAA